Molecule: ribosomal RNA, 484 nt
Filed under: uncultured bacterium
Lineage: Bacteria
Description: partial 16S ribosomal RNA
Rfam family: Bacterial small subunit ribosomal RNA
Source: RNAcentral
AUUGAACGCUGGCGGCAGGCCUAACACAUGCAAGUCGAGCGGAUGAAGGGAGCUUGCUCCUGGAUUCAGCGGCGGACGGGUGAGUAAUGCCUAGGAAUCUGCCUGGUAGUGGGGGAUAACGUCCGGAAACGGGCGCUAAUACCGCAUACGUCCUGAGGGAGAAAGCGGGGGAUCUUCGGACCUCACGCUAUCAGAUGAGCCUAGGUCGCAUUAGCUAGUUGGUGGGGUAAAGGCCUACCAAGGCGACGAUCCGUAACUGGUCUGAGAGGAUGAUCAGUCACACUGGAACUGAGACACGGUCCAGACUCCUACGGGAGGCAGCAGUGGGGAAUAUUGGACAAUGGGCGAAAGCCUGAUCCAGCCAUGCCGCGUGUGUGAAGAAGGUCUUCGGAUUGUAAAGCACUUUAAGUUGGGAGGAAGGGCAGUAAGUUAAUACCUUGCUGUUUUGACGUUACCAACAGAAUAAGCACCGGCUAACUUCGUG